AAAGCUCCUGGGAUCUUGUGAAAAUGCUGAUUGUGAUUUAGUGUGUCUGGGGCAGGGCUGAGAUUCUGCAUGUCUAACAAGCUCCCAGAUAAUACCCAU
This 99-nucleotide microRNA precursor is filed under the name Marmota monax (woodchuck). Lineage: Eukaryota; Metazoa; Chordata; Mammalia; Rodentia; Sciuridae. The record is from RNAcentral.